This 795-nucleotide ribosomal RNA is filed under the name uncultured bacterium. Its description in RNAcentral is "bacterial SSU rRNA". It matches the Rfam family "Bacterial small subunit ribosomal RNA", at positions 8 to 796 of the family's 1533-position model. The record is from RNAcentral.
AGAGUUUGAUCAUGGCUCAGGAUGAACGCUAGCGGCAGGCUUAAUACAUGCAAGUCGAGGGGCAGCACGGGUAGCAAUACCUGGUGGCGACCGGCAAACGGGUGCGGAACACGUACACAACCUUCCCUUGAGGCGGGGGAUAGCCCAGAGAAAUUUGGAUUAAUACCCCAUAAGAUAUUGUCCCGGCAUCGGGAAGAUAUUAAAGAUUUAUCACCUUAGGAUGGGUGUGCGUAUGAUUAGGUAGUUGGUGCGGGUAACGGCCCACCAAGCCAUCGAUCAUUAACUGGUGUGAGAGCACGACCAGUCACACGGGCACUGAGACACGGGCCCGACUCCUACGGGAGGCAGCAGUAAGGAAUAUUGGUCAAUGGACGAAAGUCUGAACCAGCCAUGCCGCGUGAAGGAUGACGGCCCUCUGGGUUGUAAACUUCUUUUAUCUGGGACGAAAAAGGGCCAUUCUUGGUCAACUGACGGUACCAGAGGAAUAAGCACCGGCUAACUCCGUGCCAGCAGCCGCGGUAAUACGGAGGGUGCAAGCGUUAUCCGGAUUUACUGGGUUUAAAGGGAGCGCAGGCGGAUUGGUAAGUCAGUGGUGAAAUACCCGUGCUUAACAUGGGAACUGCCAUUGAUACUAUCAGUCUUGAAUGUUGUUGAGGUUUGCGGAAUGGGUCAUGUAGCGGUGAAAUGCAUAGAUAUGACCCGGAACACCUAUUGCGAAGGCAGCAGGCUAAACAAAUAUUGACGCUGAGGCUCGAAAGCGUGGGGAUCAAACAGGAUUAGAUACCCUAGUAGUCC